This 369-nucleotide ribosomal RNA is filed under the name uncultured organism. RNAcentral's name for it is "bacterial SSU rRNA". It matches the Rfam family "Bacterial small subunit ribosomal RNA", at positions 526 to 896 of the family's 1533-position model. The record is from RNAcentral.
CGUAGGGUGCAAGCGUUAAUCGGAAUUACUGGGCGUAAAGCGUGCGCAGGCGGUUAUGUAAGACAGUUGUGAAAUCCCCGGGCUCAACCUGGGAACUGCAUCUGUGACUGCAUAGCUAGAGUACGGUAGAGGGGAUGGAAUUCCGCGUGUAGCAGUGAAAUGCGUAGAUAUGCGGAGGAACACCGAUGGCGAAGGCAAUCCCCUGGACCUGUACUGACGCUCAUGCACGAAAGCGUGGGGAGCAAACAGGAUUAGAUACCCUGGUAGUCCACGCCCUAAACGAUGUCAACUGGUUGUUGGGUCUUUACUGACUCAGUAACGAAGCUAACGCGUGAAGUUGACCGCCUGGGGAGUACGGCCGCAAGGUUG